Molecule: ribosomal RNA, 259 nt
Filed under: uncultured bacterium
Lineage: Bacteria
Description: partial 16S ribosomal RNA
Rfam family: Bacterial small subunit ribosomal RNA
Source: RNAcentral
UAGGCGGACGGGUGAGUAACGCGUGGAAAACCUGCCGUAUACUGGGGGAUAACACUUAGAAAUAGGUGCUAAUACCGCAUAAGCGCACAGCUUCGCAUGAAGCAGUGUGAAAAACUCCGGUGGUAUACGAUGGUUCCGCGUCUGAUUAGCUAGUUGGUGAGGUAAAAGCCCACCAAGGCAACGACCAGUAGCCGGCCUGAGAGGGUGAACGGCCACAUUGGGACUGAGACACGGCCCAGACUCCUACGGGAGGCAGCAG